AGGAAUUGUCGGAUCAUGAUCAUCUUCAGUUUUGAAAGACUUAGAGUAGAAUAAGUUUUUCUUUUGGCGUAGAGGAAGGGCCUAUAGCUCAGUUGGUAGAGCACACGCUUGAUAAGCGUGCGGUCAAUGGUUCAAGUCCAUUUAGGCCCACCAUACCAUAUUCCUCUUAUUCAAAAAGUUCUUUGAAAAGUAGAUAAACAAAGUCUCUAAUGACACACCAAU
RNAcentral lists this unclassified non-coding RNA (222 nucleotides) under Cape St. Paul wilt phytoplasma. Its description in RNAcentral is "16S-23S ribosomal RNA intergenic spacer". The stretch from base 78 to 150 matches the Rfam family "tRNA". Lineage: Bacteria; Bacillati; Mycoplasmatota; Mollicutes; Acholeplasmatales; Acholeplasmataceae. The record is from RNAcentral.